Molecule: ribosomal RNA, 600 nt
Filed under: Salmonella enterica subsp. enterica serovar Durham
Lineage: Bacteria; Pseudomonadati; Pseudomonadota; Gammaproteobacteria; Enterobacterales; Enterobacteriaceae
Description: partial 23S ribosomal RNA
Rfam family: Bacterial large subunit ribosomal RNA
Source: RNAcentral
AGGUUAGUGCAAUGGCAUAAGCCAGCUUGACUGCGAGCGUGACGGCGCGAGCAGGUGCGAAAGCAGGUCAUAGUGAUCCGGUGGUUCUGAAUGGAAGGGCCAUCGCUCAACGGAUAAAAGGUACUCCGGGGAUAACAGGCUGAUACCGCCCAAGAGUUCAUAUCGACGGCGGUGUUUGGCACCUCGAUGUCGGCUCAUCACAUCCUGGGGCUGAAGUAGGUCCCAAGGGUAUGGCUGUUCGCCAUUUAAAGUGGUACGCGAGCUGGGUUUAGAACGUCGUGAGACAGUUCGGUCCCUAUCUGCCGUGGGCGCUGGAGAACUGAGGGGGGCUGCUCCUAGUACGAGAGGACCGGAGUGGACGCAUCACUGGUGUUCGGGUUGUCAUGCCAAUGGCACUGCCCGGUAGCUAAAUGCGGAAGAGAUAAGUGCUGAAAGCAUCUAAGCACGAAACUUGCCCCGAGAUGAGUUCUCCCUGAGACUUAAAGUCUCCUGAAGGAACGUUGAAGACGACGACGUUGAUAGGCCGGGUGUGUAAGCGCAGCGAUGCGUUGAGCUAACCGGUACUAAUGAACCGUGAGGCUUAACCUUACAACGCCGAAG